UACAGAGGUCUCAACCGUUGUUCGGAUUCAUUGGGCGUAAAGGGUGCGUAGGCGGUCGCGCAAGUCGGAUGUGAAAUCUCAGGGCUCAACCCUGAAACUGCAUUCGAUACUGCGUGGCUAGAGUGCUGGAGAGGAGACUGGAAUUUACGGUGUAGCAGUGAAAUGCGCAGAUAUCAGGAGGAACACCAGUGGCGAAGGCGGCACUCUGGGCCGGUACUGACGCUGAGGAGCGAAAGCGUGGGGAGCGAACAGG
RNAcentral lists this ribosomal RNA (253 nucleotides) under uncultured bacterium. Its description in RNAcentral is "partial 16S ribosomal RNA". It matches the Rfam family "Bacterial small subunit ribosomal RNA", at positions 524 to 776 of the family's 1533-position model. The record is from RNAcentral.